RNAcentral lists this ribosomal RNA (253 nucleotides) under uncultured bacterium. Its description in RNAcentral is "partial 16S ribosomal RNA". It matches the Rfam family "Bacterial small subunit ribosomal RNA", at positions 524 to 776 of the family's 1533-position model. The record is from RNAcentral.
UACGUAGGGUGCGAGCGUUGUCCGGAAUUACUGGGCGUAAAGAGCUCGUAGGUGGUUUGUCGCGUUGUUCGUGAAAACUCACGGCUUAACUGUGGGCGUGCGGGCGAUACGGGCAGACUGGAGUACUGCAGGGGAGACUGGAAUUCCUGGUGUAGCGGUGGAAUGCGCAGAUAUCAGGAGGAACACCGGUGGCGAAGGCGGGUCUCUGGGCAGUAACUGACGCUGAGGAGCGAAAGCAUGGGGAGCGAACAGG